GGUCGGGAUUCACCGAGGGCUUCUGGGCUUCCGACGAGCCGUAGGUUUUGGUGGGGGCUUAGGCAUCCGGGUUGCAGCUUAGCUGCAUCGUUAGGCCGACGCCUUUUGCUCUUUUUACCAAAUCCUAAGCUGAGGAUCAGAUCCCGCGUUACGUGUUCCUGCCUGCGUCCGUUCCCGAGGGCCCGUGGCGCAGGGCCGGCCGGCAGCAGCAGCCCCUGGCGCAGGGCCUCGCGCUGAGCCCUGACAGGCCGCGGCCGCGACACGGGGGGAGGGAAAGGAGAACAUCGUCUACAUGUUUGGACAAAUUCAUCUUUCUGCCCUUCACUUCAUAUCCACGUCAAAGUCCAACACCAGCAGCUUUGUCUCCUCAGUCCCGUUCCGGCUUCCGACUGCGCACACUAGCUUUGUGUUUGAAGCUCUGAUCCGCCACACGACGCCUCCACUCCCCCCACUCUCCAAUGUGACUAGAUUUCGGAUAAAUUCACCCGUUUUCAAGUCCCAAAGUUUUACAGUUCCAUCAUCUGAACUGAUUUUGACGGUAGAAUCGGCAUUCCCAGACACCAGUAUAUUGUCCUUGAGUUCCAUUCCACUUGUUAAAGACUGGUGGCCUGUUAGCGUGUGAAUGCAGUUUCCUGUCUCCACAUCCCAGACUCGGAUGGAGGUGUCAAGAGAUCCACUCACCACAUGGAUACCAUCAAACUACAAGAAAGUCCUCAGACAUGUGAAUGUAAGCUAGCACCAGGAGCAACUGAGUAUGAACUUCAUCAAGAAUGGGGAAGAACCGCAAAAGGCAAGCUGUUUUAAGGCAGUCUCAGAGACAUCUGCUGCUAUCUUUGAGAACUCACGGAAGAUAGAUGAGGUUCAGAUGUGCCUGGGAGUGAUGCUUUGACUGUGUUAAUGAAGAUGUUGAUCUGUUGGGUUAGUAAAGGUUAUGUGUCGAAAUUUUAGAAGCAUUUUCUAAUGAAGUAUGGACUAGAUGAGCUGACAGUGAGGUGGACUGAAAACUGGCUGAAUGAUGGCUCUUAAAGGGUUGUGAUCAGUGGCGCAAAGUCCAGUCAGAGACCUCUAGCUAGCAGAAUCUCCCAGGGGUCAGUACUGGGUCCAGUCUUGUUCAGCUUACUGAUUCAUCAGUGACCUGGAUGAGGGGACAGAGUGCACCCUUAGCAAGUUUGCUGAAGACACAAAACUGGGAGGAGCUGCUGAUUCACCAGCGGGCUGUGCUGCCAUUCACGGGGAUCUCAACUGGCUGGAAAGAUGGGCAGAUGAGCCUCAUGAAGUUCAACAAAGCGAUGUGCAGAAUCCCAAACACUAGUAUAGGCUGGGGGUGACCUGCUGAAAAGCAGCUCUGUGGAGAACGACCUGGGAAUCCUGGUGAAAAACAAGUUGACCAUGAGCUAGCAGUGUGUCCUUGUGGCCAUGAAGGUCACGGGUAUCCUGGGCUGCAUUAGGCAGAGUAUUGCCAGCAGGUCAGGGGAGGUGAUCCUGCCCCUCUACUUAGCACUGGUGAAGCCACAACUGGAAUGCUGGGUCCACUGCUGGGCUCCCCAGUACAAGAGAAGCAUGUUGCUACUGGAGCAAGUCCAGCAAAGGGCUACUAAAAUGAUGAAGGGACUGGAGCAUCUGUCACACAAGGAGAGGUCAAGAGAACUAGGACUGUUCAGCCUGGAGAUGUGAACGUUCAGGGAGAGCUUAUCAAUGUGCAUUAACACCUGAUCAGAGGGUAUAAAGAAGGAGCCAGACUGUUCUCAGUGGUGUCCAGUGACACGACAAGAGGCAAUGGGCACAAACUGAAACACAGGAAAUUCUGUUUGAACAGCAGAAAACACUUCUUCACCGUGAAGGUGGUGGAACACGAAGACAGAUUGCCUAGAAAUGUUAUGGAGUCUCCAUCCUUGGAAAUAUUCAAAAGCCAUCUGCAUUUGGUCCUAGGACACCUGCUCUACAUGACCCUGCUUGAGCUGGGGGAGCUGGACUGGAGGAUCUCCAAAAGGCCCUUCUGAUGUGAACCAUUCUAGGAUUCAAUAAACGUGGUGGAAAUUAUAAGCCAAACUAUGGCUGUAGCUUUCAACAAGCUCUUACCUUUUCUCAUGGAGAUGCAUACAACGCACAGUAGAGGUAUGUCCAUACAAAGUGUGUAUGCAUUCUCCAGUUUCAGCAUUCCAGACUUUCAAUGUUCGGUCUGUAGAUCCGCUGAUGAUAAUAUUGUCCCUCAUCUGUGAUGACCAGACUCCACCUGUGUGCCCAACUAGUGUUCUCAAACACUGAAAAUACAUAUUUUGCUUAGUUGACAGAGUGGAAGCAAAAUUCAAGGAAUGCAUAAAGCAAAAAAGUAACCUAUGAGAUAGCAGUAAUCUUGUUCAUCUAUAAUUAGCCAGAAGAUUCCCAGAGAUUGCUUCAUAAUUGAACUAAAAAAUCUCAUCUUUCAGAAAAUAUUCAUCACAUUUCUCUAUGCAUUGUUGGUACUUUGAUGAUUAUGAAGCUUCUCUAUGAGCUUUCUUUUGGUUGCACUAGACUCUCUUUCCAAAUUUCUCAUUACAAGUCAUGUUUCUGCAGCCUUGAGUUAGUCUUUUUGCUGGCAUUCUUUCUGAGUCACUGCAGUUUUUUCUCAGUAUUUUUUUGAAGCAUAAACGUUAGAACUACAGGAAAGCAAGUUUUACCACCAAUAUAUAAACCAUCUAUUGUUUCAUUUUUUUUUUGUUAUCCAAAAAAAAUUACAUGCUACAAGCUGUAGCUACAGCCCUAAUACUGUGAAAUCAUGUUUCAAACAUACUCUUGUCUAGGAGAGAAUCUCAUGUUACAUAAGCAUGGCCUACCUUCUUUGAUCCUACAUGUAUGACACUGUUUUUUAACCACGUAGAAACCAUGUUUUGCUCGCACAUGCAUAAAACCUAGAUCACCCUGGAACAAUGACCUGUCUCUGUCUCUCAGUUUGUAUUGCUUAUCAGUGAUGAUUAUACAUACAUAUAUUUGUAGUUGUUUUUUAACCAACAAUCUAUAAGCAGUAAUUAGUGCAGACAUGAACAGAUUCUAGCAAAUCCCGACUAGAAACACGCUCCAUUUAAGAUUCCGCUUUUACAUUAACAACACAAUAACUGUUAAUUAUCUGCUUUCUGAUCCAUUUAAGUAUGUUCCAUGUUGAUUUUUGCAUUGCUCCUUUUUCUUAAAUUGUGUCAUGGGAUACAGCUUUGUGAUAACAUACAUAGCCAUCUAUUUUUAUCUGUCAAACCUGUAACUGCAUGAGAACAGAGGUCAAGACACUUUGAUAGUCUUUUUCUGUAACCUAAUGCUGAGUGGCAUUAAUUUCCAUGGCCCUCCUUUAACUGUUAGCUGACUCCUCUUAAAGUAGUCCAUUAUUUUUUUUUCUGAGAUAAUAUAUCCCAAUUACCCAGUCUUUCAGUUUAUUGCAUUAAAUAUUGAUUUAAAAAAUUAAACAUUUUAGCUUUCUGCCAAUCUGUUGGAUCUUCUCCAGGACUCUGAUACCUUUUGAAAAAAAACAAAAGAAAAAAAAGACCCCUAACUGCAUGCCUCAGGUAGCUUUUGGGGGAAAAAAAAAAUAGAUACAGUCUAUCUGGAUCUACUGUAAUAAAAACGCCUGACUUUGGUAGUAGUAGUUUAACAUCCUGUGAGUUUCUGUUGAAAUAAAUUG
Rhea pennata is the source of this 3646-nucleotide long non-coding RNA. RefSeq lists it as uncharacterized. The transcript has 7 exons. The record is from RefSeq and is a predicted model, not a curated record. NCBI's taxonomy places the organism in Eukaryota, Metazoa, Chordata, Aves, Rheiformes, Rheidae.